This is a non-coding RNA of Coturnix japonica (Japanese quail), 1032 nucleotides long. The record is from RefSeq and is a predicted model, not a curated record. NCBI's taxonomy places the organism in Eukaryota, Metazoa, Chordata, Aves, Galliformes, Phasianidae.
CAGCACCACACGGCUGAGUCUGGGACACCCGGGCCGGGAAUGGGUUUCCAGACAUUUGCAAGGAUCUCUGUCAGAGGCGAAAGUGCUGCUCUGCUGGAGCUGUGUUUGCUUUCACAGCAAUAUGAGAGCGUGAUUAGUAAAACAAGCCACAGGCUGAAACAGUGAAUUCAAAUAUCAUCACGUAUACCCUUGUGCUGUACAUUUCUUCUACAGAAAAUGUCAUUUUAACACAACGAUUCUGGGAGCGUGAACAACAUAGAUCCCAGACUAUCAUAAUACACAUAGUAUGUGCAGCAGUACUUAUACAGAGUCCUGAGUUUGGUGGGCAAAUAAGCGUGUGUCUUUAAACGAAUUCAAUCCACCGAAACACCGCUGCCCCGGAUCUGGUGCCGUUCACUCCGAUCCCAGCACACUUUACACAACAAUAAAUUAACCGAGGAAAGCGCCGUGCCAGCCCCAGGCACCCACAGGGCACCGCGCUGGCCCCGGAGCAGCUCUGCCGAGCGCCAUCUUGUGGCCGCACGCCCUGUAGUGGCAGCCCGCGGUGCCUGCCGGGAGCGGCCGCCAUGUCGCGCAAUGUGGGGUGCGGGGCGGGCCGGGUGGUGUUUGCUGCCGCCUCGUCCCGCUUGGGGCGGCUGGGCACUAACUGUGUACACGGGUUUGUCCUGCCCUAAUCGCACUGGAACAGCGAUGAGACACUUUAGACGUGUUACAUGUUUACCCGCUUUCCACAUUCCCAGUAUCUGGUGUCCCAGGUCCCUCUGCACGGUGGAUGUGCAGUGCCUUGUGCCACAUGCUCACCUGGUUUGCUGUUUAAGUUCUGUGUCAUGUGAUCCAGCAAACCCAGCUAACUUAAUGUCAGCAGGAAAACACCUGGAGGAGUUAUUAUACAUCACCCAGUAACUCUGAAGGAUAUUAAUGGAGAAAACAGCAAAAGACUUGAGUUCUUUUCCAUAGGGUACGAAGAGCACAGAAGUGAAAUUUUCAAAGAGUUGUAAACACCAGAGCAAAAUCAAUAGAGAUAUUAAACAA